AUUGAACGCUGGCGGCAGGCCUAACACAUGCAAGUCGAACGAGUGGCGGACGGGUGAGUAAUGUCUGGGAAACUGCCUGAUGGAGGGGGAUAACUACUGGAAACGGUAGCUAAUACCGCAUACCAUCAGAUGUGCCCAGAUGGGAUUAGCUGUGUGGUGGGGUAACGGCUCACCAAGGCGAAGAUCCCUAGCUGGUCUGAGAGGAUGACCAGACACACUGGAACUGAGAGACGGCCCAGACUCCUACGUGAGGCAGCAGUGGGGAAUAUUGCACAAGGGGCCCAAGCCUGAUGCAGCCAUGCCGCGGGUAUGAAGAAGGCCUUCGGGUUGGAAAGUACUUUCAGCGGGGAGGCGGUACCCGCAGAAGAAGCACCGGCUAACUUCGUGCCAGCCGCCGCGGUAAUUC
This 406-nucleotide ribosomal RNA is filed under the name uncultured bacterium. RNAcentral describes it as "partial 16S ribosomal RNA". It matches the Rfam family "Bacterial small subunit ribosomal RNA", at positions 30 to 526 of the family's 1533-position model. The record is from RNAcentral.